UACGAAGGGGGCUAGCGUUGUUCGGAAUUACUGGGCGUAAAGGGCGCGUAGGCGGUGUGUCAAGUCAGGCGUGAAAGCCCCGGGCUCAACCUGGGAACCGCGCUUGAGACUGGCACGCUCGAGUUCGGGAGAGGAUGGUGGAAUUCCCAGUGUAGAGGUGAAAUUCGUAGAUAUUGGGAAGAACACCGGUGGCGAAGGCGGCUCUCUGGACCGAGACUGACGCUGAGGCGCGAAAGCGUGGGGAGCAAACAGG
RNAcentral lists this ribosomal RNA (253 nucleotides) under uncultured bacterium. Its description in RNAcentral is "partial 16S ribosomal RNA". It matches the Rfam family "Bacterial small subunit ribosomal RNA", at positions 524 to 776 of the family's 1533-position model. The record is from RNAcentral.